GGUGGUAAUGCCGGAUGUUCCGAUUUUCCGCAUGGAUUUUCGGGAAAGUGUUAGCGGUAUGAGAUGGUGUCGCGUCCUAUCAGCUUGUUGGUGAGGUAAUGGCUCACCAAGGCUUUGACGGGUAGCCGGCCUGAGAGGGCGACCGGCCACAUUGGGACUGAGAUACGGCCCAGACUCCUACGGGAGGCAGCAGUGGGGAAUAUUGCACAAUGGGGGAAACCCUGAUGCAGCGACGCCGCGUGCGGGAUGACGGCCUUCGGGUUGUAAACCGCUUUUAAUUGGGAGCAAGCGAGAGUGAGUGUACCUUUUGAAUAAGCACCGGCUAACUACGUGCCAGCAGCCGCGGUAAUACGUAGGGUGCAAGCAUUAUCCGGAAUUAUUGGGCGUAAAGAGCUCGUAGGCGGUUUGUCACGCCUGGUGUGAAAGUCCAUCGCUUAACGGUGGAUCUGCGCCGGGUACGGGCAGGCUAGAGUGCAGUAGGGGAGACUGGAAUUCCCGGUGUAACG
RNAcentral lists this ribosomal RNA (506 nucleotides) under Bifidobacterium sp. WK. Its description in RNAcentral is "bacterial SSU rRNA". It matches the Rfam family "Bacterial small subunit ribosomal RNA", at positions 159 to 680 of the family's 1533-position model. Lineage: Bacteria; Bacillati; Actinomycetota; Actinomycetes; Bifidobacteriales; Bifidobacteriaceae. The record is from RNAcentral.